RNAcentral lists this non-coding RNA (1704 nucleotides) under Komagataella phaffii CBS 7435. RNAcentral's name for it is "partial 15S ribosomal RNA". It matches the Rfam family "Bacterial small subunit ribosomal RNA". Lineage: Eukaryota; Fungi; Ascomycota; Pichiomycetes; Pichiales; Pichiaceae. The record is from RNAcentral.
AUAUAAAAAAAUAUAAGAGUAUGAUGUUGGCUCAGAUUAAGCGUUAUCUAAGAACAUAAUACAUGCAAAUCGAACGAUAUAUAUAUAUUAAAUAUCCCCCGGUGACGGAUUACAUUCGAUCCCCGGGGUAAUAAUAAUAUAUUAUAGUGGUGUAAACGUGAGUAAGAGAUUGAAAUAUGAACUAUUAAUAAAGUUAAAUACUUUAUAAAUAUCUUAUAAAUAUCGUAGAUUGAACUAUGUUCAUCUAGGAGAAAAGAUAAAAAGAAUAAAAAUUCGUUAAUAGUCAAGUCAAUAAUGGAUUAGGUAGUAGUUUGGAUAAGGACCAACCUAGCCAAAGAUCCAUAGUCAAUAAUGAAAGUUAUAAUGAUCACGUUGAUUCUGAAAUGGAUCAAUUUCAAUAGAAACAGCAGUAAGGAAUAUUAGACAAUGAUCGAAAGAUUGAUCUAGUUACUUAGAAAGAUGAAUUAUCAAUAUACAUCUUUCAAGGAGGGACUAUGUUUUUCCUUGAAGGGAAUUUGAAUAAAGAUAAAAUUGAUUAAAAAUAAAAUCUAAAUUAUAGAAAAAAUAAUGAUAAUCUAUAAUAAUAGUCUUAACCAAAAAUAGUGCCAGCAGUUGCGGUUACACUAUGAAGGCUAACGUUAAUCAUUAAGGCUUAAAGGAUCCGUAGAACGAUAUAUAAUUUCCUAAUAAACUGAGAUUUUAACUUAAAGUUAAAAAGUGAGGAGGAAAUAAAUAAAAAUAUAUUAGAGUUUUAAGUAUGAUUAAAGAAUAAUUAUAGUAAAGAUGAAAUAAUUAUGAUAAUAAUUAGACUGUUAAAGGUGAAAACAUUAAUCAAAAAUAAAACUGACGUUGAGGGAUGAAGGCAUAAGUAGCAAAACGGAUUCGAUACCCGAUUAGUUUAUGCAGUAAACGAUGAAUACUUCUAUAAAUAAAAUUUGUAGUAAGUGAAAACGUAAGUAUUCCGCCUGGUGAGUAUAUUCGCAAGGAUGAAAUCCAAGACAAUAGACGGUUACAGAUAAAGGCAGUGGAUUGUGUUUUUUAAUUCGAUAAUCCCCGAUAAAUCUUACCAUUAUUAGAAUAUAUAAUUUAUAUUUAUAUAAAUUAUAUACAAAUGUUACAUCGUUGCUUUUAGUUCGUACUUUAUGGUGUUAGAUUAAGUUCGCUAACGAACAAAACUCCACAUUUAUUAAAAUUCUAACUAGAGUUAUACUUUAGGGAAUUAUAAAAUAAAUGGUUUUUUCUUGUAAAUAAGAAUAUAAAUGGAAUUAAAGCAAAUCCUGAUGACUUUAAUAUAAUGGGCUAAAGACGCAAUACAAAAUUUUAUACAAAGUUAUAUAAAAAUUAUAUUUAGAUAUAAUUUUAAUAAUUAAUUAAAAUAAAAUAUCCAUUGAAUUAUAUUUAAUUCAUAAAUAAAUUUGGAUUAAUAUCUGAAAUUCGAUAUUAUGAAAAAGGAAUUGCUAGUAAUCAGUUCUUCAUAAUAGAACGGUGAAAUUUAUCCUCUGUUUCGUACUAAUUACUCAUCAUUCGCUUAAAUGAUAUUUAAACUUAAAAUAUAUAAAAUAUAUUUUAUAUUAAUAUAAAAUAUAUUAUUAUAAUGUAUAUAAUAUAUAUCCUUGUUUAAUAUCAAAUAAGUGAGAAGUUGAAAUACAGUUAUCGUUGAGGAAUCAGCGGUGGGCUAUAAAAAUCUCUAUAAUAUUCUUCUUU